UGGAGUCAGCUUUUAAGAAGCUUCUCUUAUGGUAAUGUUUUUAAGGAUUUAAAAUUUGUAAUGAGUUUAUUAGUCACAUAGUGGUUGGGUUCUAUAAUCUACUAUGUUAUGUGCUAAUCUGUUGAAAAGUGGUUCUGCAUUAUUGCUGUAAUUUGAUGUUAUUGGACUUAAAUUCAAGAAAAUUAGAAUAUAAAAGUCGUG
RNAcentral lists this long non-coding RNA (201 nucleotides) under Panax ginseng (ginseng). Its description in RNAcentral is "long non-coding RNA (PGIN_LNC004582)". The record is from RNAcentral. Lineage: Eukaryota; Viridiplantae; Streptophyta; Magnoliopsida; Apiales; Araliaceae.